GACCUGGUGGUGGAGUGGUUACCACACUUGCUUUAGGUAGCCAGGUGUUUCCGCAAUUCUGCAGGAGGCCCCCGUUCGAUUCGGGGUCGGGUCA
Mycena rosella is the source of this 94-nucleotide non-coding RNA. Lineage: Eukaryota; Fungi; Basidiomycota; Agaricomycetes; Agaricales; Mycenaceae. The record is from the annotation of a GenBank genome assembly.